UUGCGUUAUCAAGAGCGGUGCACUUCCGUGCACCCGGCAACCUGGGGUGGACACCCAAGGUGCUUUCCUACUUUGUAGGGAUAUGGCUGAGGUCUACGACCAAAGCAACAAAGUG
RNAcentral lists this non-coding RNA (115 nucleotides) under unclassified sequences. RNAcentral's name for it is "SAM-I-IV sequence". It matches the Rfam family "SAM-I/IV (S-adenosyl methionine) riboswitch aptamer". Rfam says of the family: It is found upstream of a number of genes which code for proteins involved in methionine or cysteine biosynthesis. It has been found mostly in the order Actinomycetales. The record is from Rfam by way of RNAcentral.